GCGGGUGUAGUUUGUGAACUCCAGCCUUCCAAGCUGAUCACGUGGGUUCGAUUCCCAUCACCCGCUCCA
RNAcentral lists this transfer RNA (69 nucleotides) under Candidatus Methanofishera endochildressiae. Its description in RNAcentral is "tRNA-Gly". It matches the Rfam family "tRNA". From Rfam's summary of the family: Transfer RNA (tRNA) molecules are approximately 80 nucleotides in length. Their secondary structure includes four short double-helical elements and three loops (D, anti-codon, and T loops). Lineage: Bacteria; Pseudomonadati; Pseudomonadota; Gammaproteobacteria. The record is from RNAcentral.